This is a non-coding RNA of Doryrhamphus excisus (bluestripe pipefish), 1784 nucleotides long. The record is from RefSeq and is a predicted model, not a curated record. NCBI's taxonomy places the organism in Eukaryota, Metazoa, Chordata, Actinopteri, Syngnathiformes, Syngnathidae.
UAGGGCUAGUGGGCUCUUGGGAGUGGCCCGUCCUGCGUGCAGUAGAGUUGCCUUGGGGUUUCAGGUACAUGCUGGGGAUGUAGCCGGCUUUGGCUUUGUAUCUGUGGAAGAAAACCAAAGGUCGGGUUAAACCCUGGAAGGAUUGAUCAGAAAUAUGUACAUCAAAAGUCCAAGAGAGCAGUUUGCACCUUGUCCAUGACCUUUGAAAUACAAAUAUGUGUCUUAUCACACCCUAAACCUUACCCUAACCUUUCUAUCCUGUAAUCCUUGUAUUUCGAGGGAACGGAAAAACUGGAAAGUGUACAAAAACAUUAAUGAUCCGACCCAUUUUACCACAAAGGGUGCAUGUCAGUCUCCAAGGUAAGUCUUCCAGGGACAAACUGGAUUUAAGUAUCUUCCCAAGUAUGUUCCCAAGCUGUACAAGUCAAGUAUCAAGGGUCCAACAGAAGUAAAUAUGAGGUCACCACCCCAGUGACCCUCCAUUGUUAGCCCUACCCUAAGGCACCGUCAUAGGAGUUCACCCCUACCCCUCAAGGUCUCUGAGGUAAGUGUUCCUAAAACAGUGAAAUUGCCAAAGAAAGAUUGUAAUACCUGAUGAGCCACCAGCCAUUUUCCGACUUCUGCAGGACCUCCACCACAGCACCAAGGCUCACGGUCAUUUCGUCGUCAUUGUGGGCCUGGUAACUCUUGGUGACGUUGUACAACAUUCCUGAUGAGGACAGAGCAACACAAUGAGAAAGUCCAACCAAGAGAACUCAUGAAUGAGCAAAAGUGUUCAUAGAGGGGGCGAACCUCUUUCAGGAAGUCCAUCCACACUGUCGUCUUCCGGUUCAUCAUCCAGCCUCGCCAGGUACGGCGCUGGAAACCAAGCCAUGCUCUUGUCUUCGUUCUCCACAAGCCACCAACCUUAAGCACAUAAGACAUUAGAUUUGGACGCUAUACCUGCGCCACCUUAAACGGCUUGUUCUUGGUGUCCUUGGUCUCGAAGGGGGCCACGCACCUGUACGUCUCCGUGGCAAAAGGCUGGGUCACACUGCCGCCGCCCGGGCUUUGGACUGUGUUCCACGUGGCGUCUCCUUCGGGGGCCAUGAUGACGACGCUGAGGCGGAGAGACAAGGACUUGAGGUCAUUCGGCUGCCAUCCGCCGACCUUCGCCUCCCCUGAGUGUUACAUAAGGAAAUGGAUAUACUCUUGUCUCAAAGCAGGACUUAAAAUAGAGGUCGCCCUCCUCAUCUGUGCCACGUCUUGACUUGCGUCAAGCAACCGGCUGUGAAGAUGAAUAAGUCUUGCAGGAAUAAAAAGGUCAGCACAGCUACUACUCUGACCCAGUUGCACACACUCACCUCCGUCAGGCCCCUGAUCUUCAAAUAUCCACAUAAAUAAGAGUCCUCUGGAGUCACAUGCUGUCAGAGAUAAACAAUAUUAGUGAAGUCUAACAUGCGUGAUUAAAUGACUACCACUUUUGAGGGCAUGUGAUGAAAGUUAACAUGAAAAAUGUCUGCAAAAGGACAAUGCAUUUGUUGAUGGGUAAAUUAAAUUUUAAAAUAUGGGUUAGGUGCAUAAUAUGUAAAUGCAUUGCAAUCAUUUAAUUAUUGAUAAUGACAUUUAAUGACAUACUAAUGACAUGGUCGGACAGAUCAUACCGACAACCAAGCCACUGUCGACAUGCAGCGAGCUAGCAUUGAAGCAAGUGCAUUAAAAAGUUUCAUUUUAAAAUGACAAUGACGAAACGUCAAGUUAACAUUGAUUUUUUUUUACCUGCAAAACGACAUCCACGUCGUAAG